This 483-nucleotide ribosomal RNA is filed under the name uncultured bacterium. RNAcentral's name for it is "partial 16S ribosomal RNA". It matches the Rfam family "Bacterial small subunit ribosomal RNA", at positions 29 to 507 of the family's 1533-position model. The record is from RNAcentral.
UUGAACGCUGGCGGCAUGCUUUACACAUGCAAGUCGAACGGCAGCGCGGGCUUCGGCCUGGCGGCGAGUGGCGAACGGGUGAGUAAUGCAUCGGAACGUGCCCAGUAGUGGGGGAUAGCCCGGCGAAAGCCGGAUUAAUACCGCAUACGACCUGAGGGUGAAAGCGGGGGACCGAAAGGCCUCGCGCUAUUGGAGCGGCCGAUGUCGGAUUAGCUAGUUGGUGGGGUAAAGGCUUACCAAGGCGACGAUCCGUAGCUGGUCUGAGAGGACGACCAGCCACACUGGGACUGAGACACGGCCCAGACUCCUACGGGAGGCAGCAGUGGGGAAUUUUGGACAAUGGGGGCAACCCGGAUCCAGCCAUGCCGCGUGCGGGAAGAAGGCCUUCGGGUUGUAAACCGCUUUUGUUCGGGAAGAAAUCCUAUGGGCUAAUACCCCGGGGGGAUGACGGUACCGGAAGAAUAAGCACCGGCUAACUACGUG